Molecule: ribosomal RNA, 1350 nt
Filed under: Neptunea vinosa
Lineage: Eukaryota; Metazoa; Mollusca; Gastropoda; Neogastropoda; Buccinidae
Description: 16S ribosomal RNA
Rfam family: Archaeal large subunit ribosomal RNA (bases 641-1350)
Source: RNAcentral
AAUUAAAUUUUAUGGUAUAAACACUCGAAUCAAUUAGAAUUAUAAAAGCAUUUUUAAACUCAGUAAAGGGGAUUAAAGCUUAUUUUAUUGUACCUAAAAAAAGUACUGUGAAGGAAGUAUAAUAAAUUAUAUUAAAGAAAAAAUUAAAAUUUGUACCUUUUGCAUCAUGGUUUAACUAGAUAUCUAUUUUAUAUUAAAUAUCUCGAAAUCCAAUGAGUUAUCUUUAUCCAAUUUAUUAGAAAAAGGGAUUAAUUGUGGCAAAAAUUUUCCUAGAAAUAAAGAUGGUAAUGAAAUUUUAUUCGUAUUGGAUGAUAGCUAGUUCUUCUAAAAAGCAUAUAAGUGCCUUAAACUAGUUUUUACUUCUAUAAUAAAAUAGAAUAAAUUUUAGUUUAAUUAAAUUUUUGAGGAUAAGCUCGAAAAUUAUUAAUUAAUUUGUGUAUUAUUUAAAUUAAAAUUUAAGCUUGAAAAUAGCUAUAAUUUUGAAUUUGUUACAAUUUCAUUAACUUUGUAAAAAAUAAUUGAUUUACUUAAUACUUAAAUGAAGAAAACUUAGUAAUUAGAAUAAGCUGAACUUAUGUUAAAAUGAGUAUUAAUUAAUCUAUAAAUUUUAAUAUUAUAUAUUUUAGAACUAAUAUUUUUAUAAUAAUUUUAAAUCAUAAAAAGGAACUCGGCAAACAUAGAUUCUGCCUGUUUAGCAAAAAACAUCGCUCCUUGUACAUAAUACAUAAGGAGUCGGACCUGCCCAGUGAAUUUUUUUAACGGCCGCGGUACUCUGACCGUGCAAAGGUAGCAUAAUAAUUUGCCUUAUAAUUGAAGGCUAGUAUGAAUGGUUUGACAAGAAUGUAGCUGUCUCUUUAUGAUUAAAUAGAAUUUUAUCUGUAGGUGAAGAAGCCUAUAUUAGAUUAAAAGACAAGAAGACCCUAUCGAGCUUUAAAGAAACUAAGAGAUUAAAACAUUAAUAACUCUAAAAAAUUAACUAUUAGAAAUUUUAGCUGGGGCGCCUGAGGAACAAAAAAGCUUCCUUUAAAAUUAAAGACUAAACAAGUAUUGAUCCAAAACAUUUUGAUUAAAGGAAUUAGUUACCGUAGGGAUAACAGCAUUAUCUUUUUUGAGAGCUCCUAUCGAAAAAAAGGUUUGUGACCUCGAUGUUGGACUAGAAUAUCCUAAAGAUGCAGCAGUCUUUAAGGGUUGGUCUGUUCGCCCAUUAAAAUUCUACAUGAUCUGAGUUCAGACCGGCGUGAGCCAGGUCAGUUUCUAUCUUUAAUUUACUAAAUAAACUUAGUACGAAAGGACCAGUUUAUUGUAAUUUUAUUACUUUAACAUGAUUAAAUAUAAUACGUAAUUUAAUAU